RNAcentral lists this ribosomal RNA (439 nucleotides) under uncultured Nordella sp. RNAcentral's name for it is "bacterial SSU rRNA". It matches the Rfam family "Bacterial small subunit ribosomal RNA", at positions 338 to 794 of the family's 1533-position model. Lineage: Bacteria; Pseudomonadati; Pseudomonadota; Alphaproteobacteria; Hyphomicrobiales. The record is from RNAcentral.
CCUACGGGAGGCAGCAGUGGGGAAUCUUGGACAAUGGGCGAAAGCCUGAUCCAGCCAUGCCGCGUGAGUGAAGAAGGCCUUAGGGUUGUAAAGCUCUUUUGCCCGGGAAGAUAAUGACGGUACCGGGAGAAUAAGCCCCGGCAAACUUCGUGCCAGCAGCCGCGGUAAUACGAAGGGGGCUAGCGUUGUUCGGAUUUACUGGGCGUAAAGCGCACGUAGGCGGAUUGUUAAGUCGGGGGUGAAAUCCUGGAGCUCAACUCCAGAAUUGCCUUCGAUACUGGCUUUCUAGAGGCUGGAAGAGGUUAGUGGAAUUCCCAGUGUAGAGGUGAAAUUCGUAGAUAUUGGGAAGAACACCAGUGGCGAAGGCGGCUAACUGGUCCAGAUCUGACGCUGAGGUGCGAAAGCGUGGGGAGCAAACAGGAUUAGAUACCCUAGUAGU